Small nucleolar RNA from Sander lucioperca (pikeperch), 130 nucleotides. The record is from Ensembl. Lineage: Eukaryota; Metazoa; Chordata; Actinopteri; Perciformes; Percidae.
GUAGAGACUAGAGUCUCACCUUGACAUAAUUCAUUGUCUUGGUGUGCUAGAGUCCUCUUAGAGUGAAGACUGGUCCUAUUCACCGACUGGCUCUUUUGUAGGCCAGUCAACCACAUGGGCAGUUACAAAU